GUUAGUGAGACCAUCAUGCAAGGUUUUCUUAUCAAAUUGCCAUGGCCUCCCUAAUAAGAUAUGGCAAGCUUCCAUAGGCACUACAUCACAUAAAACUUUGUCUUUGUAGUUCCCUAUGGAAAACUUGAUUUCCACUUGCUUGUCUACAUGUAGUUCCCCAUUUUCAUUAAGCCAUUGAAGUUUGUAAGGUUUUGGGUGAGGAACUA
RNAcentral lists this long non-coding RNA (206 nucleotides) under Phaseolus vulgaris (common bean). RNAcentral describes it as "long non-coding RNA (PVUL_LNC001605)". The record is from RNAcentral. Lineage: Eukaryota; Viridiplantae; Streptophyta; Magnoliopsida; Fabales; Fabaceae.